AGAGUUUGAUCCUGGCUCAGAACGAACGCUGGCGGCAGGCCUAACACAUGCAAGUCGAGCGCCCAGCAAUGGGAGCGGCGGACGGGUGAGUAACACGUGGGAAUUUUCCUCAAGGUACGGAACAACUCAGGGAAACUUGGGCUAAUACCGUAUGAUGCAGAGAUGCCAAAGAUUUAUCGCCUUGGGAUAAGCCCGCGUCAGAUUAGGUAGUUGGUGGGGUAAUGGCCUACCAAGCCUGUGAUCUGUAGCUGGUCUGAGAGGACGAUCAGCCACAUUGGGACUGAGACACGGCCCAAACUCCUACGGGAGGCAGCAGUGGGGAAUCUUGCGCAAUGGGCGAAAGCCUGACGCAGCCAUGCCGCGUGAAUGAUGAAGGUCUUAGGAUUGUAAAGUUCUUUCGCCCGUGACGAUGAUGACGGUAACGGGAGAAGAAGCCCCGGCUAAUUUCGUGCCAGCAGCCGCGGUAAUACGAAGGGGGCUAGCGUUGUUCGGAAUUACUGGGCGUAAAGCGCGCGUAGGCGGUUUUGCAAGCCAGAGGUGAAAUGCCCGAGCUCAACUUGGGAAUUGCCUUUGGGACUGUGAGGCUUCGAGGACGGAAGAGGUGAGUGGAAUUCCCAGUGUAGAGGUGAAAUUCGUAGAUAUUGGGAAGAACACCGGUGGCGAAGGCGGCUCACUGGUCCGUUUCUGACGCUAAAGCGCGAAAGCGUGGGGAUCAAACAGGAUUAGAUACCCUGGUAGUCCACGCUGUAAACGAUGAGUGCUAGGCGUCGGCAGGCUUGCCUGUCGGUGCCGCAGCUAAC
Molecule: ribosomal RNA, 800 nt
Filed under: uncultured bacterium
Lineage: Bacteria
Description: bacterial SSU rRNA
Rfam family: Bacterial small subunit ribosomal RNA
Source: RNAcentral